Long non-coding RNA from Octopus sinensis (East Asian common octopus), 128 nucleotides. RefSeq lists it as uncharacterized. The record is from RefSeq and is a predicted model, not a curated record. The transcript has 3 exons. NCBI's taxonomy places the organism in Eukaryota, Metazoa, Mollusca, Cephalopoda, Octopoda, Octopodidae.
UCACACAACCUGUCGCCUGGCUGGUCCGGCAUCGGUCGCUUGCUCCAGCGCCAUCCAUUUUCGGGGCCGGUCGAUUCGGCAGGUAAGUUGUUACACACUCCUGAUGUAUCGGAUGAGCGUUGUGUAGG